CCUCAAACUCCACUUUCAGUGGAGUUUGGUAGCACUUCCGGUCUCAAACUCCACACUUGUGAAGUUUGUGAGUUACAUAAAAAAUUAAAUUCCUAGCCAGGUCUUCCUAUUGGGUGAGGAGGCCCUUCCAAAGUUCCAGCGAAUUCCUUAGUCUGACAACUUUUCUCAAUUCAGAAAGAUGUGUUUGGUAACAUAUAUUAAAAGGCAGAAAUAUGCAAAUGCAUAAACAAUAGAAUUUGACAUAAUUAUGUGAUAAAGUGAAAUGCUCCUGCAGUUAGUUAUUGAACAUGAAGGACCUCUCUAAUUCUUCAGAGAAACUGUGAGAUAAUCUCUACCAUUUAUGCUUAGCAAGGAGCCAUGCUGCAGAGGAAAAGUAGAAAUACACACGAGUGACAAAAGCAAAAAAAUAUAUAUAUGAAAAACUCUGAAACCACCCUCAAUGAAAAGUAAUAUGUCUGUAUUUAAAGAGUAGGUAAAUCAUAUAGUGAAUUUAGAAGGUAAAAAAUGAGGUCUAUAAUUACAUGAGUAUAUAGAAAAUGUUAAGUGUUUUCGUGAAAAGCUAUAUAAACAAUAAUGAAUAAUCAUUUCACAUUGAAAAUAAUUUAAUUUUAAAAGGAGAUAGUACAAAUAACAAAAAAAAAAGUCGAAGUAUGGAAAUAGUAGAAAUUUCAAAUAUUUUAGGAAUGUCUUUCUCCAGAGUAGCAUGUUGUUUAGAAACUAAAUUUCCACAGUAGAUUUCAUAGCUCCUGAACAUGAAUUAAAACUUUGAUAUUAGCUGCAGAAAUGUACAUUAGUUUGUGGGGAGGGGAUAAAGAAAAUAAUGUGCCAACCUCCCAACAAUUUCCCCAAACAGAUUUUUGCAUCUUGGUCAUUACACUUACUUUCAAGAUUCUUUUCUUGGUUUAAACAUGUAAUCUUGUCUCUUUGCUCACCUGCUCACUCUUCAAGCAAGCCUACGGCCAAAUAAAUUGCCAUACAUGUUUACCAAUAAACCAUUAUUUUCCAAGGAA
Molecule: long non-coding RNA, 1010 nt
Filed under: Pan troglodytes (chimpanzee)
Lineage: Eukaryota; Metazoa; Chordata; Mammalia; Primates; Hominidae
Description: lincRNA
Source: RNAcentral